This is a long non-coding RNA of Hirundo rustica (Barn swallow), 2752 nucleotides long. RefSeq lists it as uncharacterized. The transcript is spliced from 2 exons. The record is from RefSeq and is a predicted model, not a curated record. Lineage: Eukaryota; Metazoa; Chordata; Aves; Passeriformes; Hirundinidae.
GGGCGAAACGAAACCCACCGUGAGAAGGGGCAUGGAGAUGAACCCCUCCGCGUUUGUCCGGUUUGUGUCCCGCGGGUGGGUGUGAAGCGCUGAAGUCAGAGAAGAGAAGAGAUGAGAUUUUUUUUUUUUUUUUUUUUUAAAGUUUUAUUUUAUUUAGGCUGGAAUGUUUGUAAAAGUGGAGACCGUAAACAGUCGACAUGUGUGUUUCCAUCACGCACCAGAGGGGGGGAAAAAAAAAAAAAAAUCAGCCACGAACCUGUCAGGUCUUCCGACUAAUGCUGCUUGCACCGGGUAGUUAAAAAUCUAGUUUGCGACUGUUCGAAGAAGCCCGAAGCAUGAGGGGAAAAAAAAAAAAAAAAAAUAAUCUUUCCAGUAUGGCAUGGUAACCAAAAGGACAGCUAGGGCAAACUCAAUGGCUUUAGUGUGAUAUCAGGGAAUCCUCAAAGGCUUCAAACUCUGCUCAGAGCUCUGCUCCAGCUCACUCAAAAUAUCCCCUUUUGUUCUCCAGCUGCCUAUAAAACUCCAGAAGAGGAGCGCUCUCAUUUUUACACUGGAGUUCUCGGUCCGGAGAGAACAAUAUGCUCCUACCUCUUUUGAUAUGAUCCGGAGACUCUCACAACACACAGGCAAUCACUCGAAGCACGAAAUCUUUUUUUUUUUUUUUUUUUUUUUUCCCCAAGAACUGCUCAGCCCAUUGUUUGAAGUGGGAUUCAGUAUACAGCCCAAAGAGAAAAGGGAAAAAAGAAAAAAUCUUGAGAGCCCGGUUUGGUAUUGCACGGAGAGAGAGCUGACAAAAUAUUAUAGCAUGUUUCCCAGAAGUACAUGGUGAGAGCCGGAGGUGUGUUCCCGAAAAAGGGGUUGCUUUUUAUUUCCACCCACCCUCCCCAAGAUUGUGAUUGUCUUUGUAUGUCUUUCUUUUUAUCCCACAAAGAGAAUGUAAUAUACAUAUAUGUGUUUGCUCUCCAUACAAGAAAUGCCAUACAAUGGAAUAUGCGGCCGGUUAGUCCUCAUAAUGCUUAGUUUUGCUGUAAUUAAUUGAAAACAGUUAUUAGGUCGUCACUGGCAAUAGCGUAAAUAAUUGCAGCAGAUUUUUACUUAAAAUUGACCGGUCAUAGAGUGAUAGAUCGAUUCGAGGUAUAAAAAUGAUGUAUCAAAACAUCAAUGUCGAUUAUUUGAAAUAUUGUAGUCGAAUCUUUUUAUUGCUUCAUCGGUUAAGUGUCUGAAAGUGCUGUGUUCCAACAUAUAUUUAUGUUGUCAAUACUGUCAAAACUGUCAGUUUUAUUACAGUGGAUUUGUAAUACAUUUCGGAUUUGCUAAUUUACAUAAAAUGUCCACCUCAGAUACCCCUCCUUUUCUCCAUCUCUGGAAAUCUGUGUCAGUUUAAUGAAAGGAUUCAAGACUCAUACCUGAAGAGAGAGAAAAGAAAAAAAAAAAAAGAAGAAAAAAGAAAAAAGAAAAGAAAAAAAAAUAAGAAAGGGGGUGUGGGGGGGGAAUAAAAAAGGCGGUAUUGCUCCAUUAUGUCCGUUUGGACAAACAUCCGUUUGGAAAGAUUAAAGAUCCUGACUCGCCAAAAGAGGGAAUUCCUACCCUCUUCCUCCCCCUCCCCAGGCCCCGCUUAUUUCCCCAGUAGAAUUUAAACACUUUUCUUCUCUCACGCCUAGAUUAAACCCUCCAGGAGAAUUGGGAAAUUGUACAGGGAUACAGUAACAAGCCAAAGCACACCUGUGAAUGCCGCAACCUUCCCAAAGAGAGCAACAACCCCCCGAACCACGCACACACGCGCAGGGGUUUGAAUCCUGCUAGAAAGAAGGAGACAAAAGGAGCAAUAAAUAGCAUGAUCUGAGGCAACUCUAAUUUUCUCCAAGAGCCCAGCUGAAGGAUGGAAAAACUUAGGAUUAAAUAAAGAAAUCCAUUUGCACAAUAAACUCUCUUCGAUAGAACAAACAGUGAAAUUAGGCAAGUAACUUUAUUCCCCACCCCAUUCCGAGGACGAGGAUGUUUCAAAGGUGUUGGUGAGAUGGACCUGAGGGGUUGUGUGGGUUGGUUCUUUUCCCCUUCCCUCUUCCCGCAAACCCCCCCAAUCUCCUCUUCUUCCCCAUCUCCCCCUCCCCCCCACCCCGGGAUAUCUAUGUUUAAAUAGAUGCUGAAGAGAUUUCUGAGUUCGCGGUAAAGAAGGAAGGUUAGUUAAAGGAAUGGCAGCGCGCCUGGCAGGUAUUUUAAUGACUGUCCCUUCCUUUGAACACUUUCAAUUUCUCUGCUUCUUGUACAGAAUAUGUUUCCCCAACCAAGUAUGAUUUCUGUUAUAACUCUUGUGUGUGUUUGUGAUCCCUUCUGAGGUAAAUUGAGAAGUACGCUGUGCAAAAGGAGGAAAUCGCCCCUGGGGUGCUUUGUUUACUUUGGUUUGUAAAAUCCUGCUAGGAGAUGGUUUCCUCAGUGUGUGGCAAGUGUUUCUUCAAGAAAUUCAUCAGCCCUUCUACAAUUACUUCGAGCUCCGAGGGAAGAAAGCUGCCAUCACUUUCUCACAUCCCAAGGUGUUGCAUGGGGGAGAGAAGAAAAGGCUGGAGCAUUUAAUUAUAAUGGGAAGGGGUGGGGGGUGGGGAGAACGGAGGCUGCAGAAACCCGUCCCAAGCCUGUACCUGGAAAAGAAAAACCUGCAAGGGUAUAUUUGGGAAGCGUAUGCCAUUUAGACAUUGGAAAAGUACCCCGUCUUGUGCAGUAAUUAGUCUGAACAAUAAACAUAAUUGGAACAAAA